This 418-nucleotide long non-coding RNA is filed under the name Nicotiana benthamiana. Its description in RNAcentral is "long non-coding RNA (NBEN_LNC036125)". The record is from RNAcentral. Lineage: Eukaryota; Viridiplantae; Streptophyta; Magnoliopsida; Solanales; Solanaceae.
AUAUAUGGAGUAUAAAAGCUAAAAAUUCUAAGGCGUCAAUCAAAAGAAAUAGCACAUAAGGGGAAUAAACAAACAUACAAAGGCUGCACAUAAAACCCAUUAAGCGAUACAACAAUUAGUUUAGCAUAACUUACAAUUAAUGAUUUGGUCUUAUGAUUAAAACUGACAGUGGAAAGAUUAGUUUAACACAUAGAGUUGGAUAAUAAGUCUACUUUGAGCCCCUCGGGUCCAGUUUUUUAGAAAUCAAAGUAUUUUAGGCAGAUGAAUUAGAAAAUACUGAUUUUAGAAAAGGUAGUCAGACGCAGAAGAACUUUAAAGGAAAGAUUGCAGUAAGUUUAUCAGCCGGUUUUGAAAGCAUCAGAUGGUUUGAGUGAAAAAAUGCAGACGCGUUAUGCAAGAGUUUCAAAGACGAGAGUAU